CAACAGGGAUUGCCCUAGUAACGGCGAGUGAAGCGGCAACAGCUCAAAUUUGAAAUCUGGCCUUCUGGUCCGAAUUGUAAUUUGUAGAGGAUGCUUUUGGUUAGGUACCUUUCGAGUUCCUUGGAACAGGACGCCUUAGAGGGUGAGAGCCCCGUACGAUUGGAUACCGAGCCUCUGUAAAGCUCCUUCGACGAGUCGAGUAGUUUGGGAAUGCUGCUCUAAAUGGGAGGUAAAUUUCUUCUAAAGCUAAAUACCGGCCAGAGACCGAUAGCGCACAAGUAGAGUGAUCGAAAGAUGAAAAGCACUUUGAAAAGAGGGUUAAAUAGUACGUGAAAUUGUUGAAAGGGAAGGGCUUAUGACCAGACCUUUGCCUUGCGGAUCAUCCGGUGUUCUCACCGGUGCACUCCGCUUGGUUGAGGCCAGCAUCAGUUUUGGCGGCCGGAUAAAGACUUCAGGAAUGUGACUCCUCCGGGAGUGUUAUAGCCUGCUGUGUAAUACGGCCGCUGGGACUGAGGACCGCGCUUCGGCUAGGAUGCUGGCAUAAUGGUCAUCAGCCACCCGUCUUGAAACACGGACCAAGGAGUCGAACAUUUAUGCGAGUUUUUGGGUGUUAAACCCUCAAGCGUAAUGAAAGUGAACGGAGGUGAGAGCCCUUACGGGUGCAUCAUCGACCGAUCCUGAUGUCUUCGGAUGGAUUUGAGUAAGAGCAUAACUGUUCGGACCCGAAAGAUGGUGAACUAUGCGUGGAUAGGGUGAAGCCAGAGGAAACUCUGGUGGAGGCUCGCAGCGGUUCUGACGUGCAAAUCGAUCGUCAAAUCUGCGCAUGGGGGCGAAAGACUAAUCGAACCAUCUAGUAGCUG
Molecule: ribosomal RNA, 860 nt
Filed under: Microdochium sp. REF158
Lineage: Eukaryota; Fungi; Ascomycota; Sordariomycetes; Xylariales; Microdochiaceae
Description: eukaryotic LSU rRNA
Rfam family: Eukaryotic large subunit ribosomal RNA
Source: RNAcentral